Molecule: transfer RNA, 29 nt
Filed under: Yucca schidigera
Lineage: Eukaryota; Viridiplantae; Streptophyta; Magnoliopsida; Asparagales; Asparagaceae
Description: partial tRNA-Leu
Source: RNAcentral
GGGAUAUGGCGAAAUUGGUAGACGCUACG